AGGAUGGAGAUGACCCCAACAUGCCAUCUGAAUGCCUGUGCUGAAACCCAGGGGCUGUUUCUGAACCA
Non-coding RNA from Callithrix jacchus (white-tufted-ear marmoset), 68 nucleotides. The record is from Rfam. NCBI's taxonomy places the organism in Eukaryota, Metazoa, Chordata, Mammalia, Primates, Cebidae.